GGCAACUUGCCAGAGUGGUUAAUGGGUGAGACUUGAAUUCAGUUCAUGUCAUCUCAUGGGCUUCGCCCGCACAGGUUCGAACCCUGUAGUUGUCG
RNAcentral lists this transfer RNA (95 nucleotides) under Malassezia globosa CBS 7966. It matches the Rfam family "tRNA". Rfam says of the family: Transfer RNA (tRNA) molecules are approximately 80 nucleotides in length. Their secondary structure includes four short double-helical elements and three loops (D, anti-codon, and T loops). Lineage: Eukaryota; Fungi; Basidiomycota; Malasseziomycetes; Malasseziales; Malasseziaceae. The record is from Rfam by way of RNAcentral.